UCUUCCUCGAUUCCACCUUCUCCUUCUCCACCUUCUUUCUUCUUUUUAUUCUAAUUUUGCAGGUGGGUUGCAGAAAAUCGUCAGAAGUUGCAGGGUUCGCCGGGCUGGUGCUCGUGAGGCUCGUCAGAGAUCGCUCGUCGUCGUGGAAAACUCACUGGAGGUCGCCGUUAACCGGGGGUCUCGAAUCCGAGGGUCGCCAGAAAGUUGCAACUGCGCGUGGCACAAAUCUUUCCCCAAAUUAAAAAAUAUUAUUCAUUGACGAACAAAAUUUCAUUCCUUGGCCAAGAAGAAACAAAAAAGGAAUGGCUACUCUCCAGAGAAUGGAAGACGAAGAGGAUUCCCCACAGACGACGGUGAAGAUCGAGAUUCUUGGAAGCAAAGUCGGUGGUCAACCGUGGGAUGACGGACCUCAUUCCACCAUCAGACAACUUGUAAUUUAUCACAAACAGUGUGUCUGUUCGCUUCAUGUUGAGUAUGAUAAGAAUGGUAAUUCAAUUUGGCGUUCCAAGCAUAGUGGAAACGAAGGUUCCUCAUCUAAGGUUGUUUUAGAUUACCCAAACGAGUACCUGAUUUCAAUUUAUGGUUACUACGGCCACAUAUCUGAGUGGGGAAAAUUUGCAGCCGAUGUGAUUCGUUCCUUAACUUUCCAAACCAAUAGGAAAACUUAUGGCCCAUAUGGGAUGGAAGAGGGAGCCAAAUUUUCAUUCCCAAUUAUGGGAGCCAAGAUUGUUGGCUUCCAUGGAAGAUGUGGUUGGUUCCUCGAUGCAAUUGGGCUCUACGUACAACCAAUUCCAAAAAUCCAACUCAAGAACUUCAACUUGGGUCCUUAUGGAGGCAAAGGUGGGCACCCAUGGGAGUAUGUUUUUCGAUCGAUCAGACGUAGUUCAUCAUGAACAAUGGAUUCACUCCAUUCAAUUGGAAUAUGAGAAUAAGAACGGAAAGUUAGUAUGGUCCGAGAAGCAUGGUGACAUAAAUGGAAGUUCCAAAUCAGAGGUUGUGCUAGAAUUCCCAGAUGACUAUUUUGUUUCUAUUCAUGGCUACUACAGUCAUAUACGUGUUUUGGAAGAUUCUGCCACUGUGAUUCGAUCACUGACAUUCAAAACUAAUAGAAGAACUUAUGGGCCAUUUGGAGUUG
RNA transcript from Benincasa hispida (wax gourd), 1135 nucleotides. It is a transcript of the gene named jacalin-related lectin 3-like, with no coding region annotated. The record is from RefSeq and is a predicted model, not a curated record. Lineage: Eukaryota; Viridiplantae; Streptophyta; Magnoliopsida; Cucurbitales; Cucurbitaceae.